UUGUUUGAUCCCAAUCUCACUGCUCCCGAUCUGCUAAAAAAACUCACUGCUCCCGGUCGGAGUUGACGCCGCCGCCGCCUCCUCCCGUCUCGUGUCGUGGGCCCCUCCAAAGGCCUAGCAGCAUCGCCAUGGAAGGUCGCCGGCUCCGGCCACCGCAGCCGCGGACGCGGCGAGGUGGAGGGACGUGACCUGAGUGGCGCCGCUGCCGCAGCCCCCGUCGACAAGUUGGCGCUCCUCCCCGCCUUCCUCGAGGUACACGUGUGUCAUUUGUCCCGGAAUGGCAGAACCAAGCUCAGUUUCCUCCUACUCCGUUCCAGCGACCCCCUGGGCCGCCGAUCGGACCGAGGGGUGCAGACUUCAGGCAGAAUGUUAGAUAGAUCACAGGGGGCACAUCAGGAUUCGAGUGUGGGAGGGAGGAGCAAUAGUUCUGGUCACAAGUCUGCACAUACUCCAGUUAAGUUGGAGGUUCAGUCAAAACAAACCAGUGGUACAGUUGCUUCUUCAGUGGGAGGAAUUGGGCGUACACAGGAUGUUGCUGCAGAGGGGAAUGGAGCAAAGUCUGGCACAGGAUGUACUAGAUGCUUAAAAGCUGGUCAUAUGAUUAAGGAUUGCACUGAGUAUUUGUUCUGCAUUUAUUAGGGUCUCUAAAAUCACGGAUGAUCUUGGAGCUAUUUUCAAAUUAAGUACUGUAUGGGUACAAGUCUUUGGUGUACCUGAGUCUUUUCAUCACAGGGAUUGGUUUGCUGAGGUUGCUACUCUCAUAGGAACUUUCAUAGAUGCUGACAUGAAAGGUUUCUGGGAGAAUGCUAUUAUCAGAAUCAAAUGUGGAGUUAAAGAUCCCAGCAAAAUACCCGGUAUUGCAGAAUUUACUGAUAAAAAUACUUUGCUAGUGUACCAUGUGGGCUUUGAACUAGAGAAGAUUGAGGAAGAAGGGGGACAUUUGAUUGAUGGAAAACUACUUCUUAUCUCUGAUUUUAACAAAGAAUUGCAAAGAAAUGAAGAGGGCAAAAACUGCUCAACAAGAAGGAUUGUUGUCACCUAGUGCGGGGUUUGAGAAAAAGAGGGCAAGUAAGCAAAAAGUAAAACUUACAGAUGAAGCUGGAUGUGUGAUAUCCAGUCAGGCUAGUUUAGACAGAAAAAUGGAAGAGCUUAGGGAAAAUAUGUUCAUUAAGAAAAAGCUAGAAGAGGAAAGAAAAGAAAAUACUGGAGAGUUGGAUAAGCUAGAUUUUGAGCAGAAAUAUGACGAUUUGGAACUCAAGAGAUGUUAUACAAAGACAGAGGAGGCUUGUUCAGAAAAUCCUGAGAAGGAAAAGGCUACUGGUCCUACAACUGAAGUGGAAGUUGUGCAUUGGAAAGAUGAACUGAUUGAACCAAAGAAAAACAGGAAAGGGGACAAAAAUAAGGGUAACACUGUAGAGGAGAGGAGGCCAAGCGACAGGACAGAUACUGAUCAUAACAUGAUGGACAAGACCAUGGAGAGAGCGAGACUCAAGAACUUGGGAGGAUUGCAAGGUACACUGGAAUACGUGUCGGCGUGCCCUCGAUACGUUCAGAGUUUAGCGCUGAGACUCUCACACUGCAAGUUUGCCGCUUAUCGAUCGCAUGUAAGUUUGAGCAUCUUGGCGGCAUUGAGGCAUAUGACGUUCACCCUUGGCCUUCAGUUCCCAUGAACUGCUAACGAAACAACGCCUGACGUCGUGAGUGUGGUCACGUUCUGCACCCAAGCAACCGCCCUCCUCCAUUCUCCUCCAGCAGCAGCAAAAGGUCUGGCCCAUCGACGAUGACGGCUCCUCCUUGUGCUCAUCGGCCUCGUGCCCAAGUGCUCUGCAAGUCUGCAUCGGAGAUGGAAAUGAACAGGAGAGAGACAAGCAAAUUGGAGAAGGGGAAGAGCAAGAACAAGAGUAUAUCUACACCUGAAAUAAAUUGGAAUUAAUGGUCCUAAAUUGCAAAGUACAAGAAUUUCGUGACGGAGGGAGUAUGAAGUUGCACUGAAGGAGAAAGACUUUGUUGAGGGUGCUUGGUCACGGAACAACUUAGACAAUGGAGCUGGUUUUUUAAUACCUGUACCAGCUCCACUCGGUGGUGUCAUAAUUAUUGGUGAGGAGACAAUGGUUUACUGAAUGAAUCAAUUGCCCUAUUGUUAAUCAAAUAGUUACACGUCUCCCCCACUCCCCACUCAUCAAAACUUUGUCUACCACUACUUGGCUUUUUAUUUUACUCCGAGGUUCCACACUUCUUCCUUUUUACUGAGUGAAUCAAUUGCCCUAUUAUGUCCAUGUUCAGUUCUUCAGUUCAUUAUACUUGCAGAAAUUAAGUAGCUCGAUUCAUUCUAAGUGCCAGAAAGUGUUUGUCAUUCUGGUAGGAUUAAAUAAUUAAGUUGACUUCUUGCAUGCUGUAAAAGUAAACAGGGAGACAUGGGGCAGGCGUUCUUGAUAUCAGAGUAUGACCUGGGAGGAGAAGGGAACCUGUUCAAGGCUCCAGAACCCAUAACUGAAGAAUCGCUGCUCACCCUCGAUGAUGUCCGGCAGUGGCAACACAAUGGAUGACACCAUCAAGGGCUCCGACAUGGGCCUGAGCGAGAUGCUGUAUGAGUGCGAGAAGGAGCUCAUGGAGAAGUCGGCGAUCGAGGAGACGAUAUCCGAGCUGCUGGACGUCAAGAUCCCCAUGCUGCAGGUCGAGGACGUCCUGGAGAGGUCAGGGCAAGGAUCAUCGACCAAGGGGUCGCAGCCAUGGAUGAUAAUGCUGUCAAAGGUAACCAGGUGCUGCUGCUGCUAAGUGCCAUCGAUGCCAUUGUUGUUGACAAUCAAGACAAGGGAGUGGAGCAGUGUGUCACUCGUGACUUACUUGGGAACCAUGGAGAAUGGUGCAUGAUGACCUUCUGGAUGAUCAGCAGGUGGUGGAGCAAGGUGUCAUUGACCAUGGAUGAUAAUGCUGUCAAUGGUCAACAGGUGGUGCUGCUGCCUAAGUGUCGUUGAAAUAUUGCACACCACGGCAGAUGACAUUGUUGUCGAGGAUCAGGAAAAGGAAGUGGAGCAAUGCGCCACUUAUUACUUGGGAACCAUCAAGAAUGGUGAUGCUGUGGGUGGGUGAUCAGCAGAUGCUGGAGCAAGGUGUUGUCGAUUUAACCAUGGAUGAUGGAUGAUUCUGUCGUGGAACACAAAGUGGCGGAGGAAGGUGUUGUCGAUUUAACCAUGGGUGAUUAGGAACGUGGCUAUGUAAUGGAGCAAGUUCUCAAAUGGGGUACAUCCAGUGAUGCUGCUGCUACUGCUUUGGAAGAUCAGAAGAAUGAGGCUGAGCAAUGCAUCAGCGAUGAACAGAUAGCAGGUAAGGACAUGGAUGGUGUUCAUGUUGAGAGGAAUAUGCUGGAGCAAAGGACCCGUGACAAACAGGGAGCAACAGAGUCUGAUUUCACUGCUGAAAAGCACAAGGAUGUAGGUCUGCCAUGAAUUGGGUGCACCUGAGGGCUCAUGUCAGAUGUUAUUAUCAAGGAGAUCCCACAUAAUAGUUGCUCAUGUUGGCUCCAGCUUUAUCAUUUCCUUUGAAUCUUGUCACACAAGGCCAGCCAGGUCACAGGUCACAGGGGCUGUAGUCAGGCGUGAGGGAAGAGCUGGUUUAGGUGGAGGUAAUGAUGUGAAUUUCUGUGGUGCAACAACUACUAGACUGCGAUCAGCAAGGGACUCUUCAGCAUAGCAGUAGUAAUGGCCUUGAGAAUGACCGUCCAACCUAUAUUUUGCGACAUGUUUGAUACUGCUUCUUUUAAUAUUCGAGCUCAGAUGAACCCAACAUAUUAUGAUUCAUUUGAUAUGCACAUGCACGGGAUUUGCAAGGAGCAUGAAACAACACAUUGAAGAAAAUUUCCUUUGAAGCAUAGUAGAUUAAUAUAAAUAUGUGUUUUUUUUCACUGUUUGAUCCAUUGAUCAAGGGAUGAAUGGGAACUUGAUAGCAGAAGUAAUGGCCUUGAAAUGACCGUCCAACCAUCGCAAAAAGAAGAAGAGAAUGACUAUCCAACCUAUAUUUUGUGACAUGUUUGAUACUGCUUCUUUUAACAUUCGAGCUCAGAUGAACCCAACAUAUUAUGAUUCAUUUGAGUGGCUAUGCAGGGAGGAGCAUGAAUCUCCAGAAGUAUGGUCCCAUAUUUGUGUUCAGAAGCUUGCAGAACUGGCCAAACAGAGUACAACUAUGCGAUGCAUCCUUAUUCCAAUGUUUUCUUACUUUGAUAUGAUGAAGGAACAAUGGGCUCCUCAGCAUGGACUAGCUUUGCUUGUCUUGUCUGAUAUGUCUUAUCUACAGAAGAGUUCAGGCAACGAACAAUUGAUUUUGACUGCUGUCAUCCGUCAUCUGGACUACAAGAAUAUUUUGCACUGUCCUCAGACUAAAUCUGAUAUUAUUCAGACAGCGACAUCUUUGGCACGACAGCUGCGAUCAUGAGGAGUUGCUCCUGAACUUGCAGUAGCAGGUGACUUGUGAAUUCACUUGAGGAAGACACUAGAGGCUGUGGAGUCAGCCAGUGUUGAAGAGCUGAGCUUGAAUGAGUCUUCAAAAUUUCCUGGAUGGCUGUCUUGUUGAAGUCGUAAGAGGAGUUAAAGAUGUGCGGCCACUCUAUGACAUGAUGGCAAUUACAUUGGAGAAUUUGCCUUCUAUGCCUGCUGUUGUCAGAACAACUAUUGGAAGUUUCUCUCUCAAAAAAAAAACUAUUGGAAGUUUGCUGAUACUUUGCCACAUAAUCUCUUUAACAUCAGUAUCUACAGACGCUCCUAUGGUGUUUCCAGAAGCACUCCUCCAUCAGAUAUUGAUAUCCAUGGUACAUCCAGACGCAGACACUCGUGCGGGGGCGCACCACAUAUUUUCUGCUGUAAUUUUCCGAGGCCCAAGCCAUCAGAGGGAAGAGCAAAGGCACAGCGCCUUAGCCUACCAUAUCUGCCACUCAUUCUACAUCCGACGCACAGGAUUGAUGAGUGCAAAACACACCCAGACUUGGUAGUUUUCAGACUUUCAAUGUCAUGACCUUCUCUGAUUGUUUCAGAUUUUGAAAGUCAAGUGCUUCCAAUAGGACUAGUUUUGCAUGUUAAGUGAUACAGAUCGUACAAGUUUCUUUGAUAUGUGUGUUUCAUCAGGAAAGUCUUGGAUUUGUUGAACCUGCUGUGCUUGUUGCGCUCCAGUUUCUUGACGAUUUGCAGCAUGAUUGAGGUGCCUUGGGAGUUCCAUCCAGAUUUAGCUCUUUUCCUUGAUGGCCCUGCAAGGUGGCUGAUCCAUGAGGAGCUGGUUGUGGCCUGUCCGCUGUACUAGGGGAGGGGCUGAGGAGUUUCUGACCGUGGAGCCGUGGUGACAGUACUUGCUUGGCCAGAGUCACUGUUCUGCACAUCUUCAGUUUCAGUUUCUGAUGUUCAGCUGCAAAGGUUCGAGAUCCAGCUCACCGGUUGCCUCCGAAUCUGUGAUGUUUGUCAUGACUUCAACAGAAGACUGAUGAACUACAGAGUAUAGUUCUGCUUGCUGUUGAAUUCCAAGCCGAGGGAGAAAUAGGGGGGAUUCUACCACCGUUGCCAGCAACCAGCCUAUCGUUCCCUAAGCUCACCUGCCGCCGGAUGGUGCACGAGAAGGGUAGGGUGAGUGGGAUUUUAUACUGAAGAAAGGCUCUUUAGAAACCACUCCCUGGCCGAUUCUUGCACCCGAACAUUUACCGCUACCGAAACGCCACCGGAAGAAUGCCGCCGCCGGACCUUGCACAUGUCAAAUCGCCGCCGUUUGGCGAGGAUUGCAGGCUCUUGAUACCAAUUGAUAGGUCCUAGCUACGGAUCUGUCGAAUUAGAACGCAGAACAGAGAAAAGUAGUCCACUUUGGGAGGUUGAAUCGCUCAAGAUUCAAGCUACAGUGGCUAGGGUUCGUCGCCAGCCGGAACACGGCGGCUUGGGGAACACCCCUACCUAUUACAAGAUAUGGAUCACAUCGAUCCCAAAUGGGGCUUUAAUAGCCUGGAGAAGUUGCUAGAAGGUUGUCGGAAAAGCUAACAGUGACACUCGGGCACUCGCUAGCCAUCGGAUGGCUGAUCAGCGGCUUGGAGUGGCGAUCCGUGACGAAGCGGCAUGAAGCGUCAACAGCCGGUGGAUGCCGAUCGAGGGGUUGGCAUUGAAUCCGACAAGGGCGAUAGAAGCGCUACAGUAGAAGUGUUGUGUUCUUCAGUUAUCUUCAGGCUGAGGUCCUGACACGCUGCACCUCACCGCAACGCUAGGAGAUGGCGGCGCAGACCUGCUGCUGCCACUCGUGAGCCCGUGCUGUUGUCGCUCGCGAGCCCGUGUGCGUCCCUGCUGUUGAAAUAUGGGUCACUGAUUGUAGUGUAAAACGAACGUCCUCAAGGGAUUGUAACUGAACUUCUACCUUUUCAAUGCAAAGAAAUGCAAAGGUGUAUUUCCUGAA
Long non-coding RNA from Triticum aestivum (bread wheat), 6411 nucleotides. RefSeq lists it as uncharacterized. The record is from RefSeq and is a predicted model, not a curated record. Lineage: Eukaryota; Viridiplantae; Streptophyta; Magnoliopsida; Poales; Poaceae. The transcript is spliced from 12 exons.